UCCAAUUUAAAAAGUGCCUCUCAUGCCUCAGGUGACUAAAAUUCUAACUGUUGUAAGCAACUGCUAAUUCUUCCAACUUCCCUUUUCUGUCAGCAUCUAUUUCAUUAUCAAGUGAAGAUAAGACACAGUAGGGUGGAUAUUAAAAUAAGAACUUGGUUAAACAUUGCAGACUGUGUG
This is a long non-coding RNA of Gavialis gangeticus (Gharial), 177 nucleotides long. RefSeq lists it as uncharacterized. NCBI's taxonomy places the organism in Eukaryota, Metazoa, Chordata, Crocodylia, Gavialidae. The record is from RefSeq and is a predicted model, not a curated record. The transcript has 3 exons.